Molecule: ribosomal RNA, 274 nt
Filed under: uncultured bacterium
Lineage: Bacteria
Description: partial 16S ribosomal RNA
Rfam family: Bacterial small subunit ribosomal RNA
Source: RNAcentral
AUACGGAGGGUCCGAGCGUUAAUCGGAAUUACUGGGCGUAAAGCGCGCGUAGGCGGCUAUAUAAGUCAGAUGUGAAAUCCCUGGGCUCAACCUAGGAACUGCAUUUGAAACUGUAUGGCCAGAGUAUGGUAGAGGUGAGUGGAAUUUCAGGUGUAGCGGUGAAAUGCGUAGAGAUCUGAAGGAACAUCAGUGGCGAAGGCGACUCACUGGGCCAUUACUGACGCUGAGGUGCGAAAGCGUGGGUAGCAAACAGGAUUAGAUACCCUAGUAGUCC